GACGAACGCUGGCGGCGUGCUUAACACAUGCAAGUCGAACGGAAAGGCCCUGCUUUUGUGGGGUGCUCGAGUGGCGAACGGGUGAGUAACACGUGAGUAACCUGCCCUUGACUUUGGGAUAUCUUCAGGAAACUGGGGCUAAUACCGGAUAGGAGCUCCUGCUGCAUGGUGGGGGUUGGAAAGUUUCGGCGGUUGGGGAUGUACUCGCGGCUUAUCUGCUUGUUGGUGGGGUAGUGGCUUACCAAGGCUUUGACGGGUAGCCGGCCUGAGAGGGUGACCGGCAACAUAGGGACUGAGAAACGGCCCAGAGGCAGACGGGAGGCAGGAGGGGGGAAGAUGGAAAAAAGGGCGGAAGCAGGAUGGAGAAACGCCGGGUGGGGGAGGACGGCCUUCGGGUGGUAAACAGAUUUCGCCUGUGACGAAGCGUGAGUGACGGUAAUGGGUAAAGAAGCACCGGCUAACUACGU
RNAcentral lists this ribosomal RNA (467 nucleotides) under uncultured bacterium. RNAcentral describes it as "partial 16S ribosomal RNA". It matches the Rfam family "Bacterial small subunit ribosomal RNA", at positions 28 to 506 of the family's 1533-position model. The record is from RNAcentral.